RNAcentral lists this ribosomal RNA (501 nucleotides) under uncultured bacterium. Its description in RNAcentral is "partial 16S ribosomal RNA". It matches the Rfam family "Bacterial small subunit ribosomal RNA", at positions 30 to 523 of the family's 1533-position model. The record is from RNAcentral.
AUUGAACGCUGGCGGCAGGCUUAACACAUGCAAGUCGAGCGGGGAAAUGUAGCUUGCUACAUUACCUAGCGGCGGACGGGUGAGUAAUGCUUAGGAAUCUGCCUAUUAGUGGGGGACAACAUCUCGAAAGGGAUGCUAAUACCGCAUACGUCCUACGGGAGAAAGCAGGGGACCUUCGGGCCUUGCGCUAAUAGAUGAGCCUAAGUCGGAUUAGCUAGUUGGUGGGGUAAAGGCCUACCAAGGCGACGAUCUGUAGCGGGUCUGAGAGGAUGAUCCGCCACACUGGGACUGAGACACGGCCCAGACUCCUACGGGAGGCAGCAGUGGGGAAUAUUGGACAAUGGGGGGAACCCUGAUCCAGCCAUGCCGCGUGUGUGAAGAAGGCCUUUUGGUUGUAAAGCACUUUAAGCGAGGAGGAGGCUACCGAGAUUAAUACUCUUGGAUAGUGGACGUUACUCGCAGAAUAAGCACCGGCUAACUCUGUGCCAGCCGCCGCCGUAA